Molecule: non-coding RNA, 434 nt
Organism: Pelobates cultripes (western spadefoot toad)
Lineage: Eukaryota; Metazoa; Chordata; Amphibia; Anura; Pelobatidae
Source: the annotation of a GenBank genome assembly
GAGAAAUUGGAGCAGGAGGAGAGAUUGACAUUCAUCACAUACACACAAUGCACCCCUUGCACACAGAAAAACACACAAUGCAUUACACACACAUACACAAGCAAUGCAACCGUUACACACAAUGCAUCCCUUACACACACAGAAACACACAAUGCAUUCAUUACACACACUCAAUGCACCCCUUACACAAAUUCAACGCAUCCCAUACAUACACAGAAACACAUCUUGCAGCCCUUACACAUACAAACACAAUUUCACACAAUGCAUUCCUUACACACAUAUCAGGACAGCCCUUACACACUCCACCCCCUGUGAACAAACUCAUUGGUGGAACAUGAAGGUGGACCCUGGGACCCAGACCUUGAGCUGUGUAAAGGACCCCCAAAAAAUGGAGCUGCUUCCCGUUCUACCAGAACAUUGAUUUUUGUGACCAC